Molecule: ribosomal RNA, 301 nt
Filed under: uncultured bacterium
Lineage: Bacteria
Description: partial 16S ribosomal RNA
Rfam family: Bacterial small subunit ribosomal RNA
Source: RNAcentral
CAGUAGCCGGGGAAUACAGAGGAUGCAAGCGUUAUCCGGAAUGAUUGGGUGUAAAGCGUCUAUAGGUGGCUUUUCAAGUCCGCUGUCAAAUCCCAGGGCUCAACCCUGGACAGGCGGUGGAAACUACCAAGCUGGAGUACGUUAGGGGCAGAGGGAAUUUCCGGUGGAGCGGUGAAAUGCGUUGAGAUCGGAAAGAACACCAACGGUGAAAGCACUCUGCUGGGCCGACACUGACACUGAGAGACGAAAGCUAGGGGAGCAAAUGGGAUUAGAUACCCCCGUAGUCCAUGUCUCUUAUACA